This is a long non-coding RNA of Myotis brandtii (Brandt's bat), 85 nucleotides long. RefSeq lists it as uncharacterized. NCBI's taxonomy places the organism in Eukaryota, Metazoa, Chordata, Mammalia, Chiroptera, Vespertilionidae. The transcript is spliced from 3 exons. The record is from RefSeq and is a predicted model, not a curated record.
GCCCCUUGGAGGUGGGUGCACAUGCAUACAUGUGCGCAUGCACGCAUGCAUACACACACACACACACACACACACACACACACAC